Molecule: ribosomal RNA, 251 nt
Filed under: uncultured prokaryote
Description: partial 16S rRNA
Rfam family: Bacterial small subunit ribosomal RNA
Source: RNAcentral
ACGAAUGGUGCAAGCGUUGUUCGGAAUCACUGGGCGUAAAGGGUGCGUAGGUGGUUUGUUAAGUCAGGUGUGAAAUCCCUCGGCCCAACCGGGGAACUGCAUUUGAUACUGGCAAACUCGAGAGUGCGAGAGGAAAGCGGAAUUCCAGGUGUAGCGGUGGAAUGCGUAGAUAUCUGGGAGAAGGCCGGAGGCGAAGGCGGCUUUCUGGCGCACAUCUGACACUGAGGCACGAAAGCGUGGGGAGCAAACAG